UACAUGGGGUGCAAACGUUGCUCGGAAUUAUUGGGCGUAAAGCGCGCGUAGGCGGUUACUUAAGUCGGAUGUGAAAGCCCUCGGCUUAACUGAGGAAGUGCACCCGAAACUGAGUAGCUAGAGUACGAAAGAGGGUCGCGGAAUUCCCGGUGUAGAGGUGAAAUGCGUAGAUAUCGGGAGGAACAUCAGUGGCGAAGGCGGCCCUCUGGUCCAGUACUGACACUCAAGUGCGAAAGCGUGGGGAGCAAACAGG
Molecule: ribosomal RNA, 253 nt
Filed under: uncultured bacterium
Lineage: Bacteria
Description: partial 16S ribosomal RNA
Rfam family: Bacterial small subunit ribosomal RNA
Source: RNAcentral